GGCCGGGAACUCAAAGGAGACUGCCAGUGAUAAACUGGAGGAAGGUGGGGAUGACGUCAAGUCAUCAUGGCCCUUACGACCAGGGCUACACACGUGCUACAAUGGCAUAUACAAAGAGAAGCGACCUCGCGAGAGCAAGCGGACCUCAUAAAGUAUGUCGUAGUCCGGAUUGGAGUCUGCAACUCGACUCCAUGAAGUCGGAAUCGCUAGUAAUCGUAGAUCAGAAUGCUACGGUGAAUACGUUCCCGGGCCUUGUACACACCGCCCGUCACACCAUGGGAGUGGGUUGCAAAAGAAGUAGGUAGCUUAACCUUCGGGAGGGCGCUUACCACUUUGUGAUUCAUGACUGGGGUGAAGUCGUAACAAGGUAACCGUAGGGGAACCUGCGGUUGGAUCACCUCCUUACCUUAAAGAA
This 415-nucleotide ribosomal RNA is filed under the name Escherichia coli. RNAcentral's name for it is "bacterial SSU rRNA". It matches the Rfam family "Bacterial small subunit ribosomal RNA", at positions 1129 to 1533 of the family's 1533-position model. Lineage: Bacteria; Pseudomonadati; Pseudomonadota; Gammaproteobacteria; Enterobacterales; Enterobacteriaceae. The record is from RNAcentral. RNAcentral also lists the same sequence under 7 other names.